This 8392-nucleotide long non-coding RNA is filed under the name Podarcis lilfordi (Lilford's wall lizard). Lineage: Eukaryota; Metazoa; Chordata; Lepidosauria; Squamata; Lacertidae. The record is from RNAcentral.
UGAGAAUCUCCAUUUAAUAGUUCAAAACAUGCCACACACAGUUAAUCCUCAGAAGCGCCUCUAUCUCUGUCCAUCUUACUGGUUCUACACUUUGACUGAUAGUCAGAUUUUUAUUGUUUGUAGCCAAUACCUGUUACCACGUAAUUUAGAAAAGCAAAGUAAGAAACCCAAAGGUAAGUUAAAGGUAUACUUUUUUGGAAAAUGCAUGUUGUUGAAACUUAAGAUUGUAUAUCUUAACAAGUUAUUAUGAUUAAUAUGAUUAUGAUGACUACUAUUAUUUUGACAUUCAACACUGUUUUGGGUCAGGAAAGUGGCCACUCUGUAGCUCAUUCUUGCUGCUAGUGCCUUUGAUCUGGCUUGGGCCGUGUACACAAAGAUGGCCAUUUGCUGGCCUAUUAAAGAAUCUGCUCGUCAGGUACUCUGUAAUUUUUUGUCCCAGAGCUUUCCCCACAAAAACCCACUCUUUAGCACUCGACCAGAGCAAACGUCAGUCUGGGUUUUCUGCAGAUUGAUGUUUGCUCCAGUUGAGCUUUAAAGAGUGGGUUUUCACAGGGAAAGCUUCAGAGCAAAAAAAGUACACUUGGACACAUGAGCUUUAAAUCAUGGACAAUGCCUGUAAAGAGUGGAGGAAAGCUAAGUGUAAAUAAGCUAAGUGUGUAUAAGCUCAUAGUCUUGGAAAAGUAGACAUUUGAACCUUGCUGAAAAUGGACUUCUUACAUACCUAUCUACCUACCUACCUCCUCAAAUGGUGUCCUUAAGUGAUUGCAAUAUUGUAGUUUGGGCACAGUACUACACUAUGACCUUUCAUGUGUACGAAGCAGAGUGCACAGUUUUAGCUAAAGAUGAUACUGGGUGACAAUAAGUCUCUUGAAUUCCUGCAUGAUUUUGCUCCACUGAUAUAGCGAAUAAUUAGACUGUUCAAAAUUUGCCAGGUUAAAAGGUAAUGAUAACACAAGCCAAUGGUAUUUCAAAGGUAGUGUUGACUGUUUCCAGACGUUUGACACUUCAGUCUUGGCCACCAUAAAAAACAGUAGUGCAAACUCAGUGUGGGCUACACGAAGCAGUCGUAUACUGAACUUAUUUCACCCAAGAGUGAAUAUUUGGAUACAUCUGCUUCAGUUUGACCUUUGUUGUCCAGUACUAAAUCCCAGAAUGCUUAUAAUUCAGGACAAUUUGAAGAAGUAGAAUUCUGAGGGUGUUCCAGGCAGGUCUACAGAGUUUACUUUCCAUUAUAUUCUUGGCUGCUAUGCUUCUGCUGGUAAAUGACUGAUUACUGAAAUUAGUUGUAACACCUACAUGUACAAUUAAUAUUACCAAGUGUGCAGAGUGUUUAAAUGCUACUUAAUAUUACCUGUGUCCAAGUUAAUAUAUAGACACAUCAUAAUAGAAUGGAAAGUAUUUUAGAAAACUGAGCAGUCAUUUCCAGAAAUUAAAAAUAAAGUUUGCAUCACAUUGUUAUGAGCCAGUUACUUUGUCUUCUAAAGUGUUCUUCAGAAGAGCCCAGAUGAGGUCAUGAGUCAUUCAAGGCUCAAACAUCCAAAUGUCUUGUGGCUGUUCCAAAAUUCUUUCAUCAGCAUCCCACAUGACAUUAAGAGACAGUUAUAGUAUUUUGUUUUGCUUCCAAGUUUGUAUCCAUUUGUUGGGAAAGCCUGGAAAAAAACCUGUUUUUCAGAUUGUUGGAAAGCUAUCGGCUGUUUUGCAUAAAUCAGUUCUCUGUUCUUCUUUCCAAAGUGAGCAGCUUUACGUGGCGUAGAGUAUAGCUGGAUUAUUCAUGGCUUUCAGAUGGUUCUUCUGUGCCUGUUAGUCAUCCUUCUAAGAGGAAAAUUGGCCAUGCUAUGAUGGAAGUGUCACAAGGCUGGCAGCUCAGCGAUGGACAAAAGAUGCAUCCUCUUAGCAAUGAUACCACAUUCCUGCUGUUAUUCCAUCCAAAGCCAUCUGUCAUGGCAUUGCACUCUGCUUCUUCUCCCAAGCUUUGAAUCAUGUAGUUGGAAGAGACCUUGGAGGUCAUGCAGUCCUGCCCCCACUCAGUGCAGGAUCUGCAACGCAGAAUACAACCACAGUAGCCAAGGAGGUAAAUACUGCUCAAUGGGGAUCAGCACAGUUUUUCUUUUACCUUUGAGAACCUGGAAUGCUGCACUAAAAAACCUUAACAGUGCAAUUCUAUGCAAGUCUAUAAGCAGUGCUCCCCCCCCUAAAAAAAUGUUUAGAGGUACUCUCAUUAUCCUACUCAUAGUGAAAUACUGCCCCUCAAUGAGGUUAAACUUACCGUAUUUUUCGUCCCAUAGGAUGCACCGGCCCAUAGGACGCACCUAGUUUUUUGGGGGGAAAAUAAAGGAAUUUCCCCCCCUUUAUUUCCCCCCCAAAACCAGGUUGGGGAAUCCAAACCAGGUCGGGGAACAGCGGGAUGGCGGUGCUGCGCCUCCUCGCUGUCCCCCGAGCUUGUGGGGCUGCGGAUGUCUGCCCGAAGCGCGGGGCGCUCUGCUUCAGCGUGCCCCGUGCUCCGUGCAGCAGGCUGCUAUCCGCAGCCUAGGGAGUCCUGCGGGAACUCCCGCGGGCUCCCCAGGCUUGCUGAUAGCUUCCUGAAGCCUGGAGAGCGAGAGGGGUCGGUGCGCACCGACCCCUCUUGCUCUCCAAGCUUCAGUGAAAGCCUGCAUUCACCCCAUAGGACGCACACAGAUUUCCCCUUCAUUUUUGGAGGGGAAAAAGUGCGUCCUAUAGGUUGAAAAAUACGGUAGAUUCACAAAAUGUUUAGGGGUAUAUGUAUCCCUGCAUCCCCCCCCAGAAAAAAGCACUGUCUUAUAAGUUCAGUGUGAUUAUUUCCACAUAAUAUUGGAUUGCAGGCUAAACGUGGCAACCAGCUUGUGCAAACAUAUCAUAAUCUUUUAAUAAUGUAUGCAAAAUAGGAAACGAUGCAAUGAAGUCCUUAAUUUUCUGGAUCCAUUUCAGUCAAGGCUUUGGGAUGGUUUUGAUCUAGAGUGGUUGCCUGUGUUUGGCUGGGUGGUAAUGUUUUGCAGCAGUGCCCUUUCUACUUGCAUGGCCGAAUCCAGAAGGUGGUGCUGGGAAAGUAUUGUUUGGCUCCUUGCAAGCCCUAGGGCCUGAUGUUAUCUUUCAUGCUGUUUAACAUCUACAUGAAACUGUUGUGUGAUGUCAUCUAGAGUACACUACGCUGAUGACAUACAACUCUCUUUCUCCUUUUUGGGUGUGGUAGGAUAUCUGGCUGUGGUAAUGGACUGAACAAGGGCCAGUAAACUGAAACUCAUUCUAGACAUGACAAAGAUACUGGCAGUAGAUGGUUCUCCUGUCUGGGUAAACAGAGUUUCACCUGCUCCCCCAAAGAAUCCCAGGAACUGUAGCUUGCCCUUCACAGAGCUACCAUUCCCAGCACUUGUAACAAACUACAGUUCCCAGGAUUCUUUGGGUGAAACCAUGUCCUUUAAAGGUAUGGUGUGUAUGCUGCGAAGUUUUCACUGAGGCAUCGCAUAGCAAGUCAGCAUUGCCUUGAUAUGUGCUUACUGCUUGGCUGGAGAGUUUAUAGGGAACUUCUAGGUGGAAUAAUUUGUGCUCUUAAUAGGUUAAAACAUAUGAAGGCAUGGAAGCUAUUCAGAUUCUAGGUUUUACAAGUCAGACAACGUUGCUCUGAAUAUGGGCUGGAGAUGUAGUUUAAACUGUCUUUUCUUCAGGGUCCUCCCCCCCUCCAAAAAAAACUUGAGAAACUGGAAAUCUCCAGCCAUGACCUUUUUUUACACUGGAACAUUUUAAUGAAGAAUAUUCCACAUGCAUAUCUUUUGUUUGCCUUUUAAAUGGCAAAUUUGUCACUUGAUAAGUGGGUGGGUUGCAUAUUCAUACAUUUUGGUGUACGAAGCCAAUCGUGUUCACUGUCCUUGAAGUACAAAGGUUCACUCCAGGUGGCAGCCCUACAUUUUGUGGGCCUGUAGACCCAAUGUUAAAAUGCUUGGUUUCCACCCACUCUUUAGUAUGUUGGACUGUAUCUUGUCAUCUUCCUAGAAUCUUCCGGUAAAUUAGCUGGAGGACAUUUGAUGAACAUGCUCCAGUACUAAGGAUGUCAUAUGUUCCUUCGAGUUCUCCCUAGACAGUUUAAGCUUCUUUGAGAUGCAAAAUAGUGGAGGGAAAGUCAUGUUUCCCACAAAAAAACACACCCCACAAUUAAAAGUUCCAUGAACUUGGAGUGGUAAAGAGUCACAUGUAAUCCUUUACAACAGCAACAACAAAAUCAAGCUGUUUAUAGUUCUCAUUAACUGCAGAGGUUUGGGGAGGAAAUGAUGAAAUAAGAACUAAGGGCUGGAAAGUAUUGUGACACAGAAAAUGAACACCAGGCUAGGUCCAUCUAAAGCCAGUCAAAACCCUAUCCCCAGUCAAAGAAAAUACCUCAAACAAACAAAAAGCCCUCCAAAACAAAAGGAAAAGGAAAAUAAAAACUUGCCUGCUGGAUGAAUAAUCUGUCUAUGAAUCAGAGAAGAAGUGGAAACAUUGUCUCCUUCAGUGCAUGAUUUGGAGCAGAAUUAUAAUAUAUGUAUAUCACUGCUGCAAUUGAGUUUUAGGCUGUGUACACAUUCUUGGCUUAAAAUGCAGCAAGGGUGUUCUUUUCCUCAGUUUGGUUUGAAGCUUCCAGUGGCUUUGUGAAGAUCUGUAGGGGAUUGCCCCAGGCAGAAUGGUUUCUACUGGAACUGCCUCUUUAAGGAGGCCCCCAAUCCAUCCCUACAGGAGCCAGGCUGCUGGAACUCAGCUGGCCCAGGCACAAGAACAACAAGUGCACUAUCAUGACUUUUGGAGAUCAUGACCUUAUUUCGCCAAGAUGGAAAGAGAGGGGCAGAUGGGGAUAGGUGAAGCUGACCAUUUCAGUUCCUCAUUUUUCAAACGUUAAGCUGAGCUCUCCACAUCUACACAUCAGUUAGCGAUUACCCCCUGCAAAAUUCUCAUGAAAAUCCAUCAAUAUUUUUGUGUGACAUUCAUCCUAGAUCAGGGGUAGGCAACCUAAGGCCCAUGGGCGGGAUGCGGCCCAAUCGCCUUCUCAAUCCGGCCCGCGUAUAGUCUGGGAAUCAGCGUGUUUUUAUAUGAGUAGAAUGUGUCCUUUUAUUUAAAAUGCAUCUCUGGGUUAUUUGUGGGGCCUGCCUGGUGUUUUUACAUGAGUAGAAUGUGUGCUUUUAUUGAAAUUGCAUCUCUGGGUUAUUUGUGGGGCAUAGGAAUUUGUUCAUUCCCCUCCCCCCCCCACAAAAAUAUAGUCCGGCCCACCACAUGGUCUGAGGGACGGUGGACUGGCCCACGGCUGAAAAAGGUUGCUCACCCAUGUCCUAGAUGCACAUUUUUGUAUGCAAUAUCCCCUAAGCUAGAGAUUCCCCCCUAAUAUAAUGAAUGAUUGCAUGUUAUAUUCACUAGUAUGACCAUUUAUAUGUCCAUCUUACAUUACAAGUGCAAGUCUGUAAUGUAAAGGUAAAAGGUAUAGGACCCCCUGGACGGUUAAGUCCAGUCAAAGGCGACUCUGGGGUUGCGACACUCAUCUCGCCUCAGGCCGAGGGAGUUGGUGUUUGUCCACAGACAGCUUUCUGGGUCAUGAGCCAGCAUGACUAAACCACUUCUGGCGCAACGGAACACUGUGACAGAAGCCAGAGCGCAUGAAAACACUGUUUACCUUCCCGCCGCAGUGGUACCUAUUUAUCUACUUGCACUGUCAUGCUUUCAAACUGCUAGGUUGGCAGAAGCUGGGACAGAGCAAUGGGAGCUCACCCUGUUGUGCAGAUUCGAACAGCCAACCUUCCAAUCAGCAAACCCAAGAGGUUUAGACCACUGAAUAACUGCAUAGCAAAAUUCAGGGAAGUGCAAAUUUUGAAGGAUGUAUGGGUUUCAGUUCACAUACAGCUCACUCCCCCAAAUACAGCUCACUGUGCAAAUGAGCCUAUGUGUUCCUUUUAAUGACUAACACUGGCAUUUUUAAAAUGGUGCACAAUGAUGCUAAAAUGCACGAUACUAAAAAAAUUAUUCCCAAGGUAACAAUAUUUAUUUAUUUUAGGAUACGUCUAGAUGUGUGCUUAAUAUUGCAGGUUAUUCAGAUGUCACAAAUGGGUGGUUGGAAGCAGAUUUAUUUUUUAAACUGCUCUAUUCCCUUCAGAAAGGGUAGAUCCAGGUUAAAAGAUGGUAGUGGUGAGGCAUAUGUGCUUGUAUUUUGAUGCCAACCAUGUUGUGCGGACACUGCACAAAACUUGAAUAUUCUAGGAUUGGUGUGUCCCAUGCAAACACCCUUCCAGAAAACCCUUACUCAUUAUUCUCCUACAUUUCAGGGCCAAACUCUGGUAACAAGGCAUCUUACAAGAGAAAACAAAAUAAGUAAAUCACACCAUUUAUCUUUGUACAUUUAAUGUGCACUGAACAAAAUUUCCAGAAACUGGAUUUAGAAAACAAGGUUUUGCUUGAGGUUUUGUUUCACUGCAGUACAGUUAUGCUUGAGCUUGGCCAAUCUGAGAAGCAAGUGAAAAAACUGCUGGUAAAAAUGAAACACUGUUGUAAAGUGUUGUUAAAACUGCUGCUAAGUCUCUUUUCCAUUUCUGUUUUCUCUUCCCUCAAUUUUACUUUUGUUUUUAAUUGUAUUUUAUUUUGAUGCUAUCUUAAGAUUCUCAAACACUCUGAAGAAGAGCCACAGGUGGAAAGGAAGUGUGUGUGUGUGUGUGUGGUGUGUGUAAUGCUUAAAAGAGCUAACAAAAAUAACACAUUUUUGACAGUCACACACCAUAACUCACAGCAUCAGCAUUGGUUCUAACAUUUAUGGUUUUAUUUUCCAACAAGCCUGUCAAACAGGUUGAAAGCCUAUAAUACUAUCGCUAACACGCGGCUGAUAAAAAACAGUUAUAAAACCACUUCUUACUACUAACCCACAAAUAAAAAUAUCAAAAGCUAUGCAUGCGUACCAAAAAUAUAAAUACAAAUUAUGUGUGACAAAUGGUGUUGCUUGCUUAAAACCAACGUCUCGCUGGUUUUGGGUUUGUUUCAUUUUCAUUCUUGUUUCUUUUUUUAGAUAAUCAUCAGUUUUUAAUUGUUUGGGCAAUUGGUGAUAUUAAACAACUUAGCAAACUCAAGCCUCUAGAGAUUCCUAUUAGAAAAUUAUACUUAUUUACCAAAAUUAAUUUUGUCUCUAUCUGUAUAGGGUUUAACAUCAUCCUGUGGUUGAGAUGGCUCACAGCAAUGCUAAGAACAUCAUGAAAAGCAGUAAAAAGAACAUUUCAACAACAACAAACAAGAAAGCAUUUCAAAUCACCUGACCUCAACUCUUAAAUGGAGCUCCUUCCUGCUUCUUUCUAAAGGCCAUCAGCGAUGUCUUCCAGAAAAUCUCCCCUGGGAGGCCAUGCUACAGACUCAGGGCCACUAGCAAAAAAGCCCUGCUACUUCUUGAGGUCAACUUGACUUCUCACAUUAAUGGCGUACAGAGAAGGGCACUCAGUGUAGAUCUCAAUUUGGUUGAAAAAGAUUUAUGGGAAAAGGCAGUCCUGUGGAUAUGUAGGGCAAAGGAAAUGAAGAGCUUUUAAGGCUAAUGCCAGCACCUUGAAUAUUCCUCAGAAAGCUAACUGGAUGUGUGUACCUCUGGUUAAGAACAUAAUUCAUUCCGGAGGUCCGUUCUUAACCUGAAACUGUUCUUAACCUGAGGUACCACUUUAGCUAAUGGGGCCUCCUGCUGCCGCGCGAUUUCUGUUCUCAUCCUGAGGUAAAGUUCUUAACCCGAGGUACUACUUCUGGGUUAGCGGAGUCUGUAACCUGAAGCAUUUGUAACCCGAAGCAUUUGUAACCCGAGGUACCACUGUAUAGUGACUGAAAAAUCGGUUGGUUCUCAUCUCCCUACAGCUCUUUUCAGGCCCUCAGUGUGGCGAGGGUAUGCCUGGUGCAUUCAGCAGUGAUGGAGGCUGGCUGGUAUGCGUGUGUCUACCUGCUCCCCCUCACCAGUUUAAGCCCUUGCGUAUUCUUUGGAACCAUGACACACUUCCUCAUCUAUAACAUAGAAUCAUAGAAUUAUACAAUUGGAAGGGAGCACAAGGGUCAUCUAGUCCAACCCCCUGCAGUGCUGGAAGAAGAAGAGUUUGGAUUUGAUAUCCCGCUUUAUCACUACCCUAAGGAGUCUCAAAGCGGCUAACAUUCUCCUUUCCCUUCCUCCCCCACAACAAACACUCUGUGAGGUGAGUGGGGCUAAGAGACUUCAAAGAAGUGUGACUAGCCCAAGGUCACCCAGCAGCUGCAUGUGGAGGAGCGGAGACGCGAACCCGGUUCCCCAGAUUACAAGUCUAUCGCUCUUAACCACUACACCACACUGGCUCUGGAAUCUUUUGCCUAAUGUGGGACUUGAACCCAUGAACCUGAGAUGAAGAGUUUCAUGCUCUACUGAGCUAUCCCUGCU